CACCGAAUGGAGCGACAUUCA
Molecule: unclassified non-coding RNA, 21 nt
Filed under: Dictyostelium discoideum
Lineage: Eukaryota; Evosea; Eumycetozoa; Dictyosteliales; Dictyosteliaceae
Source: RNAcentral